This 70-nucleotide ribosomal RNA is filed under the name Amanita huijsmanii. RNAcentral describes it as "partial 28S ribosomal RNA". It matches the Rfam family "Eukaryotic large subunit ribosomal RNA", at positions 1 to 69 of the family's 3401-position model. The record is from RNAcentral. Lineage: Eukaryota; Fungi; Basidiomycota; Agaricomycetes; Agaricales; Amanitaceae.
UUUGACCUCAAAUCAGGUAGGACUACCCGCUGAACUUAAGCAUAUCAAUAAGCGGAGAAAAGAAACUAAC